CGAGCGAACGGACGAGAAGCUUGCUUCUCUGAUGUUAGCGGCGGACGGCCUGAGUAACACGUGGAUAACCUACCUAUAAGACUGGGAUAACUUCGGGAAACCGGAGCUAAUACCGGAUAAUAUUUUGAACCGCAUGGUUCAAAAGUGAAAGACGGUCUUGCUGUCACUUAUAGAUGGAUCCGCGCUGCAUUAGCUAGUUGGUAAGGUAACGGCUUACCAAGGCAACGAUGCAUAGCCGACCUGAGAGGGUGAUCGGCCACACUGGAACUGAGACACGGUCCAGACUCCUACGGGAGGCAGCAGUAGGGAAUCUUCCGCAAUGGGCGAAAGCCUGACGGAGCAACGCCGCGUGAGUGAUGAAGGUCUUCGGAUCGUAAAACUCUGUUAUUAGGGAAGAACAUAUGUGUAAGUAACUGUGCACAUCUUGACGGUACCUAAUCAGAAAGCCACGGCUAACUACGUGCCAGCAGCCGCGGUAAUACGUAGGUGGCAAGCGUUAUCCGGAAUUAUUGGGCGUAAAGCGCGCGUAGGCGGUUUUUUAAGUCUGAUGUGAAAGCCCACGGCUCAACCGUGGAGGGUCAUUGGAAACUGGAAAACUUGAGUGCAGAAGAGGAAAGUGGAAUUCCAUGUGUAGCGGUGAAAUGCGCAGAGAUAUGGAGGAACACCAGUGGCGAAGGCGACUUUCUGGUCUGUAACUGACGCUGAUGUGCGAAAGCGUGGGGAUCAAACAGGAUUAGAUACCCUGGUAGUCCACGCCGUAAACGAUGAGUGCUAAGUGUUAGGGGGUUUCCGCCCCUUAGUGCUGCAGCUAACGCAUUAAGCACUCCGCCUGGGGAGUACGACCGCAAGGUUGAAACUCAAAGGAAUUGACGGGGACCCGCACAAGCGGUGGAGCAUGUGGUUUAAUUCGAAGCAACGCGAAGAACCUUACCAAAUCUUGACAUCCUUUGACAACUCUAGAGAUAGAGCCUUCCCCUUCGGGGGACAAAGUGACAGGUGGUGCAUGGUUGUCGUCAGCUCGUGUCGUGAGAUGUUGGGUUAAGUCCCGCAACGAGCGCAACCCUUAAGCUUAGUUGCCAUCAUUAAGUUGGGCACUCUAAGUUGACUGCCGGUGACAAACCGGAGGAAGGUGGGGAUGACGUCAAAUCAUCAUGCCCCUUAUGAUUUGGGCUACACACGUGCUACAAUGGACAAUACAAAGGGCAGCGAAACCGCGAGGUCAAGCAAAUCCCAUAAAGUUGUUCUCAGUUCGGAUUGUAGUCUGCAACUCGACUACAUGAAGCUGGAAUCGCUAGUAAUCGUAGAUCAGCAUGCUACGGUGAAUACGUUCCCGGGUCUUGUACACACCGCCCGUCACACCACGAGAGUUUGUAACACCCGAANCCGGUGGAGUAACCUUUUAGGAGCUAGCCGUCGAAGGUGGGACAAAUGAUUGGGGGAAGUCUA
RNAcentral lists this ribosomal RNA (1446 nucleotides) under Staphylococcus aureus. Its description in RNAcentral is "bacterial SSU rRNA". It matches the Rfam family "Bacterial small subunit ribosomal RNA". The record is from RNAcentral. Lineage: Bacteria; Bacillati; Bacillota; Bacilli; Caryophanales; Staphylococcaceae.